GUAGAUGCAGAGAAAAUCACCAACUUGUUACAGUUGCCACAAUAUUUUGAUUUGGAAAUCUACACAACAGGGAGAUUAGAAAAGCAUUUGGAUGCCUUAUUACGACAGAUCCGGGAUAUAGUAGAAAAGCACACAGACACUGAUGUUUUGGAAGCUUGUUCUAGAACUUACCAUGCCCUCUGUAAUGAGGAGUUCACCAUCUUUAACAGAGUAGAUAUUGCAAGAAGCCAGCUAAUAGAUGAACUAGCCGAUAAAUUCAACCGGCUUCUUGAAGAUUUUCUGCAGGAGGGCGAAGAACCUGAUGAAGAUGAUGCAUAUCAGGUCUUAUCAACAUUAAAACGAAUUUCUGCUUU
This is a long non-coding RNA of Protobothrops mucrosquamatus (brown spotted pit viper), 353 nucleotides long. RefSeq lists it as uncharacterized. NCBI's taxonomy places the organism in Eukaryota, Metazoa, Chordata, Lepidosauria, Squamata, Viperidae. The transcript is spliced from 3 exons. The record is from RefSeq and is a predicted model, not a curated record.